This 99-nucleotide ribosomal RNA is filed under the name uncultured bacterium. RNAcentral describes it as "partial 16S ribosomal RNA". The record is from RNAcentral.
CGCCGCGUGAGGGACGAAGGCUUUCUGAGUUGUAAACCUCUUUCGACAGGUAACGAUUGUGACGGUACUUGUAGAAGAAGCACCCGGCCAACUAUGUGC